Non-coding RNA from Glycine soja, 378 nucleotides. Lineage: Eukaryota; Viridiplantae; Streptophyta; Magnoliopsida; Fabales; Fabaceae. The record is from Rfam.
CUACUAAUUGAGGGCAUAUAUAAUGCACGUGACAAUCUAUAGCCCCUGCUGUUACAAUCAACCCUUCUCCAGCAAUAACUUCAGUAUUAGCCUUGAUAUGGAUGACAUGCAAAUAAGUUGUGUCAAGAUAAUGGUGUAUGAAUUCAGUUAAUUGCUUCAGAUCUUUGGAUGGGAACUUACCCCAAUGAUCAUAUUAAAAAAUACAUCAUCCAUGAUGUCUGGAUUUCCUGCUUUUCCAAUUGAAACAAUGAGACCAUCUUUAAUGCCUAUAUCCGCUUUGAUGAUUCCACUAUAAUCAAUUAUCACAGCAUUUGUUAUAACAGUAUCCAAGGAGAUUGCAGGUGGAUGCCCACAUGACUGACCCAUUCCAUCUCUUAA